CUGAGAUUCGUUUUACCCUUCAUGAAGUCUAGGUUCAUGUUUGGGGGAUUGGAGAGGGAGAGCUAUAUUCACAAUCUGGGGAUUGCUAUAAACACUAUACUCCCUUCGCUCUCUGGACAAGGAGAGUUAUAACCACUGGAUCCUGGUCUCGGGUCCAGAGUGGGUGGAGGACAGCGAGACCCCAACCAAGCUGCGGCGGUUUGUGGG
Pelobates cultripes (western spadefoot toad) is the source of this 207-nucleotide non-coding RNA. NCBI's taxonomy places the organism in Eukaryota, Metazoa, Chordata, Amphibia, Anura, Pelobatidae. The record is from the annotation of a GenBank genome assembly.